RNAcentral lists this ribosomal RNA (460 nucleotides) under uncultured bacterium. RNAcentral describes it as "partial 16S ribosomal RNA". It matches the Rfam family "Bacterial small subunit ribosomal RNA", at positions 338 to 795 of the family's 1533-position model. The record is from RNAcentral.
CCUACGGGGGGCAGCAGUGAGGAAUAUUGGUCAAUGGCCGGGAGACUGAACCAGCCAAGCCGCGUGAGGGAUGAAGGCACAGAGGAUUGUAAACUUCUUUUGUAAGGGAAUAAAGACUGGGACGCGUCCCCGGAUGAGUGUACCUGAAGAAAAAGCAUCGGCUAACUCCGUGCCAGCAGCCGCGGUAAUACGGAGGAUUCGAGCGUUAUCCGGAUUUAUUGGGUUUAAAGGGUGCGCAGGCGGCCUGUUAAGUCAGCGGUGAAAGGCCGGGGCUCAACCCGGGCCUUGCCGUUGAAACUGGCAGUCUUGAGUUCGAGAGAAGUAUGCGGAAUGCGCGGUGUAGCGGUGAAAUGCAUAGAUAUCACGAAGAACUCCGAUUGCGAAGGCAGCUUGCCGGCUCCACACUGACGCUGAGGCACGAAAGCGUGGGUAUCGAACAGGAUUAGAUACCCCAGUAGUC